UGGCGCACGCCUAACACAUGCAAGUCGAACGGACGAGAAAGAAGCUUGCUUUUUUCGAAGUUAGUGGCGGACGGGUGAGUAACACGUGAGGAACCUGCCUUAAGUNUGGGGGACACAGUUGGAAACGACUGCUAAUACCGCAUAACACUUUAGUACCGCAUGGUACAGAAGUCAAAGCUUAAUGUGCUGAGAGAUGGUCUCGCGUCUGAUUAGCUAGAUGGCGGGGUAACGGCCCACCAUGGCGACGAUCAGUAGCCGGUCUGAGAGGAUGAACGGCCACAUUGGGACUGAGAUACGGCCCAGACUCCUACGGGAGGCAGCAGUGGGGAAUAUUGGGCAAUGGGGGAAACCCUGACCCAGCAACGCCGCGUGAAGGAAGAAGGCCUUCGGGUUGUAAACUUCUUUUAGCAGGGACGAAGGACGUGACGGUACCUGCAGAAAAAGCAACGGCUAACUACGUG
RNAcentral lists this ribosomal RNA (461 nucleotides) under uncultured bacterium. RNAcentral describes it as "bacterial SSU rRNA". It matches the Rfam family "Bacterial small subunit ribosomal RNA", at positions 40 to 507 of the family's 1533-position model. The record is from RNAcentral.